GACGAACGCUGGCGGCGUGCUUAACACAUGCAAGUCGAACGGAAAGGCCCCUUCGGGGGUACUCGAGUGGCGAACAGGUGCGUAACACGUGAGUAACCUGCCCUUGACUUCGGGAUAACUUCAGGAAACUGGGGCUAAUACCGGAUAGGAAUCCUUGCUGCAUGGUGGGGGUUGGAAAGCUUCGGCGGUUUUGGAUGGACUCGCGGCUUAUCAGCUUGUUGGUGGGGUAGUGGCUUACCAAGGCUUUGACGGGUAGCCGGCCUGAGAGGGCGACCGGCCACAUUGGGACUGAGAUACGGCCCAGACUCCUACGGGAGGCAGCAGUGGGGAAUAUUGCACAAUGGGCGGAAGCCUGAUGCAGCAACGCCGCGGGCGGGAGGACGGCCUUCGGGUUGUAAACCGCUUUCAGCAGGGGCGAAGCUUGUGGUGACGGUACCUGCAGAAGAAGCACCGGCUAACUACGUG
This 465-nucleotide ribosomal RNA is filed under the name uncultured bacterium. RNAcentral describes it as "partial 16S ribosomal RNA". It matches the Rfam family "Bacterial small subunit ribosomal RNA", at positions 28 to 507 of the family's 1533-position model. The record is from RNAcentral.